ACGAACGCUGGCGGCGUGCUUAACACAUGCAAGUCGAACGGAAAGGCCCUGCUUGCAGGGUACUCGAGUGGCGAACGGGUGAGUAACACGUGGGUGAUCUGCCCUGCACUUCGGGAUAAGCCUGGGAAACUGGGUCUAAUACCGGAUAGGAGCCAUUCUUAGUGUGAUGGUUGGAAAGUUUUUUCGGUGUAGGAUGAGCUCGCGGCCUAUCAGCUUGUUGGUGGGGUAAUGGCCUACCAAGGCGGCGACGGGUAGCCGGCCUGAGAGGGUGGACGGCCACAUUGGGACUGAGAUACGGCCCAGACUCCUACGGGAGGCAGCAGUGGGGAAUAUUGCACGAUGGGCGGAAGCCUGAUGCCGCGACGGCGCGUGGGGGAUGACGGCCUUCGGGGUGUAAAAUCCUUUCGCUAGGGACGAAGCUUUUUGUGACGGUACCUAGAUAAGAAGCACCGGCUAACUACGUG
Molecule: ribosomal RNA, 464 nt
Filed under: uncultured bacterium
Lineage: Bacteria
Description: partial 16S ribosomal RNA
Rfam family: Bacterial small subunit ribosomal RNA
Source: RNAcentral